Long non-coding RNA from Anthonomus grandis grandis, 815 nucleotides. RefSeq lists it as uncharacterized. NCBI's taxonomy places the organism in Eukaryota, Metazoa, Arthropoda, Insecta, Coleoptera, Curculionidae. The transcript is spliced from 3 exons. The record is from RefSeq and is a predicted model, not a curated record.
GCUAUUGCUUCUCAAAGUGUGCUCUUCAUUUUUAGUUGAUUUCACAGUGAAAUACGAAUAAAUAGAAAAGAAAGUGCGUUUAUUUAUUAGAACAGAAGAUGUACGGGGGUUUGGGCAGAAAUAAGUUUAUGGUAGCUCUAGCUACAAAUUUCAAUGAAAUUCACGGUGAAACUUCCUCAAUAAUGGAUAAUACAUCGACUUUAUUUUUGGAAAAUAAUAAAAUAGUUAAAAACCAUGACGAUCUGGCAUUAAAUGCGACAACUAACGAGAUCGAAAGUGAAAAUUGUUUUGAACUUGAGACGGAAAUAGAUGAAGCUAUUAAAACAUUAAUAGAUGACUGUGGAGGACAUGAUGAAUUAAUGUUAUUAGGCGAGAUAAAUGGCGCUUCAGAAAAUGCAUUUUCGGACCUCAACCUAGAAACUGACGGGGGAAAUAGGGUGCAAGACCAUCCAAAGCAAAGUGAUAUUGAUGUUGCGGAGCCUGGAACGCCAGGAAUAUUUCUGACCAACCAAGUAGUGCAAUGCGAUGACAAUGAUGAGUACUUACCAAGUGAAAGCGAAGAUGAACACCUUGAGAGCAAUAAAAAAUUAGAAAGGGCAGAUUUUGAAAUCGAAGAUAGUGAAAAAGAAAAUGAGAUAUUAGUGGAAAAUAUAGAAGAGCACAUUAAAACCAAAAAAAAAUAGGAAACGAAAACCUGAUUCUGGAAGCUGGAAAAAACAAGAGUGUAAGAAUAAACGUGAAAAGGGUGAUGAAUAUGAUGGACUUAGAAAAAAUGCAGAGGGAAAGUGGAUAUUUGACGUAACAAAACCGCCUCG